This is a long non-coding RNA of Cotesia glomerata, 274 nucleotides long. RefSeq lists it as uncharacterized. Lineage: Eukaryota; Metazoa; Arthropoda; Insecta; Hymenoptera; Braconidae. The transcript has 3 exons. The record is from RefSeq and is a predicted model, not a curated record.
GAUACCGCCAUUCUAAUACGUCGUAUCCCACAUUUAGAAAAUUUUACAGCAGACGGUAAAAACGAUUUAUUUUUAACAUUGAUUAAAUGGAAUUUGACAGAUGAAAAUAUUUAUUUAAAAAUAGUUAUUAAACUAUUUGACCUUUAAAAUUUUUAUAUGACUUGCAUAAUAUUGUUAUGAUUCCAUUUUUCAAAAAAAGUCAAUUUGUCAAAUUUUGUGGGAUACGACGUAUUAGAAUGGCAGUAUCGAUAUGUCUCUUUGUUAAAAUUAUUUU